GUGAGGAAUAUUGGUCAAUGGACGAGAGUCUGAACCAGCCAAGUCGCGUGAAGGAAGACGGUUCUAUGAAUUGUAAACUUCUUUUGUGCAGGAAUAAAGUGGGUUACGUGUAACCUUUUGUAUGUACUGUACGAAUAAGGAUCGGCUAACUCCGUGCCAGCAGCCGCGGUAAUACGGAGGAUCCGAGCGUUAUCCGGAUUUAUUGGGUUUAAAGGGUGCGUAGGUGGAUUGAUAAGUCAGCGGUGAAAGUUUGCAGCUUAACUGUAAAAUUGCCGUUGAAACUGUCGGUCUUGAGUACAAAUGAGGUAGGCGGAAUGUGUUGUGUAGCGGUGAAAUGCUUAGAUAUAACACAGAACUCCGAUUGCGAAGGCAGCUUACUGGGAUGCAACUGACACUGAUGCACGAAAGCGUGGGUAUCAAACAGGAUUAGAAACCCGGGUAGUCC
This 445-nucleotide ribosomal RNA is filed under the name uncultured bacterium. RNAcentral describes it as "partial 16S ribosomal RNA". It matches the Rfam family "Bacterial small subunit ribosomal RNA", at positions 354 to 796 of the family's 1533-position model. The record is from RNAcentral.